UAGGGAAUCUUCCGCAAUGGGCGAAAGCCUGACGGAGCAACGCCGCGUGAGUGAAGAAGGUUUUCGGAUCGUAAAACUCUGUUGUUAGAGAAGAACAAGUGCUAGAGUAACUGUUAGCGCCUUGACGGUAUCUAACCAGAAAGCCACGGCUAACUACGUGCCAGCAGCCGCGGUAAUACGUAGGUGGCAAGCGUUGUCCGGAUUUAUUGGGCGUAAAGCGAGCGCAGGCGGUUCCUUAAGUCUGAUGUGAAAGCCCCCGGCUCAACCGGGGAGGGUCAUUGGAAACUGGGGAACUUGAGUGCAGAAGAGGAGAGUGGAAUUCCAUGUGUAGCGGUGAAAUGCGUAGAUAUAUGGAGGAACACCAGUGGCGAAGGCGACUCUCUGGUCUGUAACUGACGCUGAGGCUCGAAAGCGUGGGUAGCAAACAGGAUUAGAUACCCUGGUAGUCCACGCCGUAAACGAUGAGUGCUAAGUGUUGGAGGGUUUCCGCCCUUCAGUGCUGCAGUUAACGCAUUAAGCACUCCGCCUGGGGAGUACGACCGCAAGGUUG
Molecule: ribosomal RNA, 550 nt
Filed under: uncultured bacterium
Lineage: Bacteria
Description: bacterial SSU rRNA
Rfam family: Bacterial small subunit ribosomal RNA
Source: RNAcentral